RNAcentral lists this long non-coding RNA (486 nucleotides) under Cavia porcellus (domestic guinea pig). RNAcentral's name for it is "lncRNA (ENSCPOG00000031911.1)". The record is from RNAcentral. Lineage: Eukaryota; Metazoa; Chordata; Mammalia; Rodentia; Caviidae.
UCUUCAUGUUGACUUCCUAGCUUCUGUUAUAGAAGAAAAGAAGAACGGCUGAGGUCUGUGCCAGUCUCCGGAGUAUGGACUUCUCAGUUACCUACAGACUAGCUGGCCGAUCACUCCUAAGGGUGGGCGUUUCUGCUUAGGACAGCAACAAUAAGGCUCUAUUAAAUGAGUGCACCUGGGCCAGGAACAUAGCUCAGCAGCACAGCUCCUGCCUGUAAUGGGGAGAGAAAAAAUGGACCUAAGGAAGGAAUUCCACUCAGGGAACGGAUCAGGCAGACUUCAUCAGUUGUAAGAAUAAGAUCCAUGCAAAGAAUUCAAAGAGAAGAAAACAAGUAAGCAGCCGUGGCUGGAGCGAGCGGCAGGCACCCCAGGGGGAGAACCAGCCAGCGGCUCCAAGAUCUGCGCCAUGUUGGAACUUAGGCUGCUGGAAGCAAAGCAACCCGCUGGCCUCCUUGGUAAGCAGCCGUGAGCCUACCGGUGUGCGGG